GUAUAACCAGUGAAAGAGCAGAGUAGGUAGGAGUACACAUGAAAAAGAGAAGAGAUGCCGUGGCUGAAAGCAUUUCUACAUGAUGACUUACUGAAAGAACACUCUGGAGGUUUCUCUCUGAACCGAUGAAUCAUCGCAGUAGGAGCUGAACGUGAUCGUACGUUAACGAUUUGAGUGGAAGCUAGACAAUAGUAGCUUCAAUUAGGGUGGCACCACGAGAUUUCAAGCUCUCGUCCCUACU
Molecule: non-coding RNA, 241 nt
Filed under: Priestia koreensis
Lineage: Bacteria; Bacillati; Bacillota; Bacilli; Caryophanales; Bacillaceae
Description: Bacillus koreensis T-box sequence
Rfam family: T-box leader
About the family: Uncharged tRNA acts as the effector for transcription antitermination of genes in the T-box leader family. T-boxes are found upstream of many aminoacyl-tRNA synthetase genes and some amino acid biosynthetic genes usually in Gram-positive bacteria. The anticodon of a specific tRNA base pairs to a specifier sequence within the T-box motif, and the NCCA acceptor tail of the tRNA base pairs to a conserved bulge in the T-box antiterminator hairpin.
Source: RNAcentral